RNAcentral lists this unclassified non-coding RNA (211 nucleotides) under Hevea brasiliensis (rubber tree). The record is from RNAcentral. Lineage: Eukaryota; Viridiplantae; Streptophyta; Magnoliopsida; Malpighiales; Euphorbiaceae.
GGGCGCGCGAAGAAGAAGAAAGAAAAAGAAAAUGGGCUGAUUCGAUUCGACUGGUCCGAUCCAGUCUGGUUCAAUUCAGCUGGUUCGAUUCAAGAUAUCCGAAAUUGAAUUUUUACUCUACAUUGGGACCAAAAAUAAGGUCCAAAAAUUCCGAAAAAAUUCUAGAAAACUCAGAAAAAUUCAUAAACUCCAAAUAUAUUUUUAGUUUUGA